Long non-coding RNA from Cygnus atratus (black swan), 2103 nucleotides. RefSeq lists it as uncharacterized. The record is from RefSeq and is a predicted model, not a curated record. The transcript has 2 exons. NCBI's taxonomy places the organism in Eukaryota, Metazoa, Chordata, Aves, Anseriformes, Anatidae.
CCGCUUCCUCCUCCGCGGCACCUGCAGACACCGGCACGGCUCGGCUCGGCACAGCGAGUGGCCCCAAGAGUGAAGCCCUUUUCGAACCACGUCCAGUUGUAUCAUGAUUCCACUAAAGCCAAAUCACAGCACUGCGUGAAUAACGUCGGAGUGGAUUAUUUCUUGCAAUCACAUCAUGAAUGAUCGUCCAAGUCAUCCAAGUGGGCAAAUGGUUGAUGUAGCAGAGACUUGCUAAAAUAGGCAAGAUUUAAUUUCAUGUAAAUGAAGUACAUCUGGGACUGGUAUUUCUGAUAUGUGUGUAAAUGUGAAGAGAGCAACUCCUUGCGCUUGUUUCCCUACAGCCCUCUUUCCUCAUGGCCUCAUGAGCAGGGCAAAAAAGGCUCUGCUUUCCUGUUCUGCCUUGGAUGUAGCAUUGGCUAUUAUAGCCAUGACCUUGCAAACAUAUGCUGCUUCAAACAAGAAAAAUCUAUUGUGUACAAAGGGGUUGACUGGGGUCCUCAGGAAGAUGCCUUUGUGUAAGCGGUACACUGAAAAUGUGGUUCUCCUUGCAAAUCUUCCGCCUGACACAUUGCCUUCGGUCGGGUGCUCACUGUUGCAUGGUCUGCUGUGCUUUGGACUGAACAUCAUUUUCACAAAUGCCCUGUUAUCAUUACAGAAAUAUUUCAUUUUCAGCAACAUGCAGCAAGACCCCAGUCAAGCAGAAGUACGUGGCUGGACAUAGCUUAGUAUAUGCUAGUAGUUGAUGGGAGUUGAUUUGUCUGGAGGUACAGAUUUACUGAAGGGGAGAAAAGUGGUCUGUGUCCCCUGCAUUACCUGUGCUACAUGAGUCCCUUCACCUGGCUGUGUGAUGGGGAAGCAACUUACUAUCCUGGAUGUACCUAGAGCUUUGCACACCUGUAGGUUUGGACUCCGAAGCAGAACUUGUUGAAAAUAUUUUUUUUAUGUUUCAACUAAGUUCAAAUGCAGUGGUAAGCGCAUGAGUCUGAUCAUCUCCAGCUGUCGUGGAAUCUCCAGAAGAGGACCUCAGACAGAAAGGAUCUCUUCCCUCCUUCAGUCUUUACAGGAGCUCUGCCUGUGUAAGAAAAGGACACGUAGCCUGCCUUACGCAGAGGUCUGUGAGAUCUCUUGGAGCUGGGAGCUGUCUGCGUUGAGGCUUUGUGCCUUUGCACAGCUGUAGUCUUGCGAAGGUCUCAUGUGGGAACGGGAAGGUGUCUGGGGGGACCUGCAGUAUGUGCAAUGUGUCAUGUCUCUUUCUUCAUACACACAACAAUUCAAGUCAGAAUAGAUCUAUACAAGAAAAGCAGAGUAAAAUUGUGGAUUUCUGUUGAGAAUCCGCACAUCUGGGAGAACACCAGUCCUACCUUGCUAGUUAUAAAACAGGGGCAAAGCAACCAGGAGAGCCUAAGAUUUAGGGAGCGUGCUGAAGUUUGUAGAGAACAAAAGAUGGCUUUUGCAACUGUAAGUCAUUUCAUCAUUGGUCUGGGAAGUGCAUUAACAUUGCUUUGUUUCCAUGUGUGACCCUGAGUCUCUUUCAGUUUUUGCUAUGUCUGCUCAUGUUGUACAUCUUCAGCUGUCAGUAAGUCAGGAAGCUGCAAACGGAAGGUGGGUGAGAAAGUGGGCUACCUCAGGGAGUGCAGAGACGAUGUCUGAAGGGAAAGCUGGCAUUUCCACUGCAGUUAAGCAAGUUCCUGUAGUCAACAACAAUCUCGAGUGCUCUGCUUGUUCUCAGAAAUUGUAUAGAUCCAUCAUUUGGAGCUUGCAUUAAUACAUAUUUGCAGUAAUGUUAUUAAAUGUGCACUAUAAAUACACAUGUUGUUCAGAGUAAUAGGCUAAUAUUUCCAAAAACAUUUUGGCAUUAUCCAGGGCUAGUUUCUAAGAUCAAAAUGCUGAGAGAUCAGAGAAAACUUUUUCACUCCUAAAAUAUGUUUCUAACAGUGGCUUCUACUGUACUCAGCAGAGAGAUUCAAUGGAGUUUCACCAGAUGUGAAGUUUUGUCAUAGACGUCUCAUCUGUGAUAAGAGGAUGCCCCAUCUUUGUGGCACUUGGAACUGUAAAAAGUCAAGCGAUAAAUGAUAUUAAAUAUUAUGUGUAGUGGUUUUAUUA